GCGCCCGUAGCUCAGCUGGAUAGAGCGCUGCCCUCCGGAGGCAGAGGUCUCAGGUUCGAAUCCUGACGGGCGCGCCA
RNAcentral lists this transfer RNA (77 nucleotides) under Marinobacter sp. RNAcentral describes it as "tRNA-Arg". It matches the Rfam family "tRNA". From Rfam's summary of the family: Transfer RNA (tRNA) molecules are approximately 80 nucleotides in length. RNAcentral also lists the same sequence under 1 other name. Lineage: Bacteria; Pseudomonadati; Pseudomonadota; Gammaproteobacteria; Pseudomonadales; Marinobacteraceae. The record is from RNAcentral.